GUGGCAAUCCCGGAGCAUAAUAAGCAACCUUACUUUCCUAAAUCUUUUCUUAAUUCAAAACAACCUGCAUUUUCCUUUUCUAUAACCUUGGUAAGAAAAUCUGAGCUAUCCAAAUUGGCCCAGUCUGAGAUCAAUUGUUUCACAAGCAAAGAAUACUGUGGCAACAUAUUACCAAGGCAUGACUGUAUUUUAAAAAGAUCUAUAUCAUCUCCAGACAUCAAACCUGCCUCAUCCUUCCAACACUUGUAAAAUUUCUUUACAAAAAUCAUAUUACCAAUCUCUUCCUUUGCAUCCUGCUUAUAUGCCAAAGCAGUGAAUAUAGACUGCUUAUUCUUCCAUAAUCCCAACAUUUCAGCUUCCACCUUGUUCCAAAUUUUAGCACAUCUUACUGAAGUACUAAACUCAUAAUCACCAAUUCAUUUCAAACCAUAUAACUCAUACUCAGCAUCCAAUGUAAUAUUACACGUCAUCUCACAAAACAAUAUUUUUGUAAAAACACAUAAUGGGUACCCAGCAGAUAUGCCAAUACAGAAAUCACAUUUAUGGGCACACAACUACACACUCUGUCUCCCUCCUAGGAAACACGGAUAGACACAAUAUAAAAGCAAUCUUAAACUAACACCUCCAAAUCUCCAACUAUUCUUGGCCAAAACGCUAGUAUUCAACAACUAAUAAAACAGUUAUUUGCUAGGUUAUUUGGCUGUCAUUCUUAUCAGUAUCACUAGACUGUGACAAACUGAUUCACAUAUAAUUUAAAACAAUACAGCAACAUAAAUUAAACCACUUUCAAGUUAAACUGCACACUUCACACAUUAUCACAAUCACCAUUUACACAAAAUAAACAGUUAACAGCUGUAUUCAGAACAUAUUAUUGGAAGGUAUACCAAUUUUAGUUUAGAUUUAUUUUAGGGAUUCUUAUGUGUACAUUUUCUUAAUUAACUUCAUUACUUUAAUCUACUAUAGUAUUGUAUUUAAAGAAAGGAUCCAUUUAUAUAGCGCGCUCAUAACUCAACUAUUUGUAUAAAACUUCCAUUAACUAAUCUGAGAUGAUGCUGCAUCAACUUAAAUCUUACAGAAAUUGAACAAACAUCUGGACCAGAUUAAACAGACAUGGUUUCACCUGAAUCUUUCAGAACUCUCAGAGACUUAAAAAAUUUAUACUAUACCAUGUUUUAAAGGCAUGGCAAACCUUUAGACCGGUCAGUCUCCAAGAGCCCUUAGUAACACAGGUAAAAACCUUUGUCCAUGAUGUCUGAUUCAGGCUAUAUACCACAAUUUAAAAUAACACAUAAUGUGAGACAUAGAAGACACAAGCAGUAGUUAUUACACUGGAUCAUUUAAAAGGAACCUGUUGCAAUAAAAAGGUUAGUUUACAGUGCAAAAUAAAGCAUGUGUUGGACCGCUGAAAAUGUAAAUGUUGCUCUCUUAUUUUCAAACAAAAAUCAUAUUUACAGUAUGGAUCCUUUGCAACAAACACACAGGGCAGGGAAGAUGUGCUGAUUGGUGUUUCUAUACAAUUAAUCCCAUACGGGGAAUUAACUUUCAAAUACUAAUGAAGUGACUUUUUGUCUCAGUUAUAAAAUAUACUGAGCUCAUCAUGCAAUCAAUGCAACACAUUUACACUAUCCCACUCUCAUAAUAAGUGUAGUGGGCUUAUAGUAUUUUUAAAGCAACAAUCAUUCCAGGCACACAGUUCCCAUGUGAAAUAACUUACAAUAAAACAGAGUAAUAAACUUAUACUUCUA
Non-coding RNA from Pelobates cultripes (western spadefoot toad), 1745 nucleotides. The record is from the annotation of a GenBank genome assembly. Lineage: Eukaryota; Metazoa; Chordata; Amphibia; Anura; Pelobatidae.